GCGAGUGGCGAACGGGUGAGUAAUACAUCGGAACGUGCCCUGUAGUGGGGGAUAACUAGUCGAAAGAUUAGCUAAUACCGCAUACGACCUGAGGGUGAAAGUGGGGGACCGCAAGGCCUCAUGCUAUAGGAGCGGCCGAUGUCUGAUUAGCUAGUUGGUGAGGUAAAGGCUCACCAAGGCGACGAUCGGUAGCUGGUCUGAGAGGACGAUCAGCCACACUGGGACUGAGACACGGCCCAGACUCCUACGGGAGGCAGCAGUGGGGAAUUUUGGACAAUGGGCGAAAGCCUGAUCCAGCAAUGCCGCGUGUGUGAAGAAGGCCUUCGGGUUGUAAAGCACUUUUGUCCGGAAAGAAAUGGCUCUGGUUAAUACCUGGGGUCGAUGACGGUACCGGAAGAAUAAGGACCGGCUAACUACGUGCCAGCAGCCGCGGUAAUACGUAGGGUCCAAGCGUUAAUCGGAAUUACUGGGCGUAAAGCGUGCGCAGGCGGUUGUGCAAGACCGAUGUGAAAUCCCCGAGCUUAACUUGGGAAUUGCAUUGGUGACUGCACGGCUAGAGUGUGUCAGAGGGGGGUAGAAUUCCACGUGUAGCAGUGAAAUGCGUAGAGAUGUGGAGGAAUACCGAUGGCGAA
RNAcentral lists this ribosomal RNA (632 nucleotides) under uncultured Ralstonia sp. RNAcentral's name for it is "bacterial SSU rRNA". It matches the Rfam family "Bacterial small subunit ribosomal RNA", at positions 91 to 719 of the family's 1533-position model. The record is from RNAcentral. Lineage: Bacteria; Pseudomonadati; Pseudomonadota; Betaproteobacteria; Burkholderiales; Burkholderiaceae.